This is a long non-coding RNA of Daphnia pulicaria, 462 nucleotides long. RefSeq lists it as uncharacterized. Lineage: Eukaryota; Metazoa; Arthropoda; Branchiopoda; Diplostraca; Daphniidae. The transcript is spliced from 3 exons. The record is from RefSeq and is a predicted model, not a curated record.
GCAUUUUGGGCCAAUUACUUGGAAACGAAAUCAAUUGAAGCCUGAUACGUUAGCUCUGAAUUCUCAAAUCCUUUUCCUGUGGCCGGAGAUGCUCAAGUAUUUGGCUAAAUUUUUCCGUCAAAAGCAUGUCUUGAUUCCAGUUUUCCAUCUAUGCCAUUAAAAAUCUCUGUAAACCAUCAACAAGAGUUACAAAUCAAAGCCACUAGUCGUUGGAGAUAUUGUCGUGAUGCCUGUGGUCCCAGAGGUCAGAGUCCUAGAUUAGUAGAUUGCAAGUCUCCACUAGUGCCGAUUCAGUGGCAGCGGUUUGUUUAGUUAGCAAAUCAGGAAGUCUGCACCCAGGUUGAGUGGGCGAAAAGAAGAGUAAAAAUAAGAAAGAUAAAAAGAGCCAGAAGGGAAAGACUACGACACUAUAAAACUUUGUUACUGAUCCACGGCUAACGAACAAAAGACAGCAACAUUGGA